Molecule: ribosomal RNA, 531 nt
Filed under: Klebsiella pneumoniae
Lineage: Bacteria; Pseudomonadati; Pseudomonadota; Gammaproteobacteria; Enterobacterales; Enterobacteriaceae
Also listed under: 1 other name
Description: partial 23S ribosomal RNA
Rfam family: Bacterial large subunit ribosomal RNA
Source: RNAcentral
UUAGUGGAACGGUCUGGAAAGUCCGACGGUACAGGGUGAUAGUCCCGUACACCAAAAUGCACAGGUUGUGAACUCGAAGAGUAGGGCGGGACACGUGGUAUCCUGUCUGAAUAUGGGGGGACCAUCCUCCAAGGCUAAAUACUCCUGACUGACCGAUAGUGAACCAGUACCGUGAGGGAAAGGCGAAAAGAACCCCGGCGAGGGGAGUGAAAAAGAACCUGAAACCGUGUACGUACAAGCAGUGGGAGCACCUUCGGGUGUGACUGCGUACCUUUUGUAUAAUGGGUCAGCGACUUAUAUUCUGUAGCAAGGUUAACCGUAUAGGGGAGCCGCAGGGAAACCGAGUCUUAACUGGGCGUUAAGUUGCAGGGUAUAGACCCGAAACCCGGUGAUCUAGCCAUGGGCAGGUUGAAGGUUGGGUAACACUAACUGGAGGACCGAACCGACUAAUGUUGAAAAAUUAGCGGAUGACUUGUGGCUGGGGGUGAAAGGCCAAUCAAACCGGGAGAUAGCUGGUUCUCCCCGAAAGCU